RNAcentral lists this non-coding RNA (193 nucleotides) under Equus caballus (horse). Its description in RNAcentral is "Eukaryotic large subunit ribosomal RNA". It matches the Rfam family "Eukaryotic large subunit ribosomal RNA", at positions 2139 to 2330 of the family's 3401-position model. The record is from Rfam by way of RNAcentral. Lineage: Eukaryota; Metazoa; Chordata; Mammalia; Perissodactyla; Equidae.
UGCCCUAAGAACUUCAUGGGAUCGUGAAGGCCUGUGGUGGGUGUUGAUGCAAUAUGAUUUCUGCCUAGUGCUCUGAAAGUCAAAAUGAAGAAAUUCAAUGAAGCACAGGUAAAUGGUGGGAGUAACUAUGACCACCUUAAGGUAGCCAAAUGCCUCAUCAUCUAAUUAGUGAUACAUGUGAAUGAAUAAACAA